Molecule: ribosomal RNA, 253 nt
Filed under: uncultured microorganism
Description: partial 16S ribosomal RNA
Rfam family: Bacterial small subunit ribosomal RNA
Source: RNAcentral
UACGGAGGGUGCGAGCGUUAAUCGGAAUUACUGGGCGUAAAGCGUGCGCAGGCGGUUUGUUAAGCGAGAAGUGAAAGCCCCGGGCUCAACCUGGGAACCGCAUUUCGAACUGGCAAACUAGAGUCGUGUAGAGGGGGGUAGAAUUCCAGGUGUAGCGGUGAAAUGCGUAGAGAUCUGGAGGAAUACCGGUGGCGAAGGCGGCCCCCUGGACAAAGACUGACGCUCAGGCACGAAAGCGUGGGGAGCAAACAGG